Molecule: long non-coding RNA, 1786 nt
Organism: Callithrix jacchus (white-tufted-ear marmoset)
Lineage: Eukaryota; Metazoa; Chordata; Mammalia; Primates; Cebidae
Source: Ensembl
AUGCCCGGUGACCGCCCAAUCAGUAGAUGGAUGUGUUUUCCUGGAAAAGAAGAAACACUGAGGCUGAUAGGAAGAUCCAGACUUUGGUGUGUGGGUGUGGAAUGGGGGAAAGGUAUGAGAAAGAGCUGCGCUGAUUCACAGGCUCAGGCAUCUUUUGAUUGUGCUAUUUACAUAUUUAGAAAUCCCAUUAGGGUUCCAAAGAAAGUAAAUUUUCAACAGCUGCUGGGGUGGUGAUAUGAAUAUGCAUAAGUGUUGUCCAAAAUGUGAAAAUGCAGCAAAAAAAAUGUGUGUGGUACAUUCUUUUAAUGCCAUAUGAAGCUGAAGGCCAGGGGAAUGUUCAAGUCACCACUCAAUUCAGUUUCAUAUUGAUUAAAGGUCUUGCACUAAGUUACAUGUCAACUUGUAGAGUUUUGUCUGUUAGAGAUAAAAAUGAUUUCUCUCUGGAGAUAACCUCAAAGAUUGUAUGUAUGGCCUUUUGGGGACAUUAAUCAGUUCUGUAUCUGACCCAAUAAUUUUAUCCUUUCAUUGACUGUUUAUAUCUAGUUUCUCAACUACUUUUUGAACUGGUCCUGAUAUCUUAUUAGUCCCCUUAAUUAAUGAAUUUAAUAAAUUGUUGACAUACACUUAUCUCUUUUUUUGCUCACAUCAUAUUCUAUUGGAUCAUCAUAUUUUUACAAUAUCAUUUUUAAAGCAUAUUUUAAAAUUACACAUUAAUAGUUUUAGCAUGUUAACAAAGAAGCCCAUUGGACUCAUCUAAUGGAAGAAAGUAAACCACAUUUCUUAGGAAGUGCUUCUUAUGGACUGUUUAAGCUCACAUACAUUUUUUCUUACACCCACUAAAAGGUGACUCUGUCUUUGGGUCAUGUCACUAAACAUGUUGUAAAUGUGAUAUGCGGAGGUGUGGGGGGGUUGCGUAAUAAGUGUCAGAAGUUUUGCUAGUCUGUAAAAUCAUGGUCUUGUUACCCAAUGUCAUGCCUAUGUGACGUAGCUGAAUUUCUACCCUGCCUAUCUUUAAGAAACAAGACACUUGUGAUCAAAAGUUUCCUUUGUAACCAAAGUAGCUGAGACUCAUUAGAAUCAAGAUAGCUGACCAAACAACUUUAAGAAGACCUCAGGAUUCAUGAUAAUCUCAUUUCCAUGCUUAAUGACACCCCAGUGCCAUCACAGUUGACAGUCACCAUGGCAAUGACUGAAAGAAGCCAUAAAAGGACAAAAAGGAGGCAGCACUCCAGUUCCAAGAAGUUCACCACUCAUUUCCAGAAAAGACACAAAUACUAUGUCUCUUGUUUUUAAUGUCCAACUCCUUCAUUAGAGAAGCCCUACAUUUUCAUCCCCUUACCCCUCACUAGUCGAGAAGCUCAUUUAUGAGCCAUGGCUGCCUUCUCAUUUCUAUGGCCAUCAAAUAAUGCCUUCACUGCUUGAUACUCACUUGUGGUUUUAUGUAUUGGCUUUGUGAUACCAAACAGGUGUCCCCCAUUCAAAGUAAACCACGUUUCUUAGGAAGUGCUAAGGUGACCAGCUUUUUUUGAUAACAAUAUAUUACAGAAAGUUCUUAAUUUAUCUAAGUACCAGUUUUAUUUUGUAAACUAUAUGUAAGUUAUUUGGGUCAAAGUUAUAAUUAUUAUUGAUGGUUGAGACUAUUAGAAGCUAUAGUGACAGAGACAUAUAGCUGUGUAUGCAAUCUAUUAUGAUGGUUUUGUUUUCAAAAGAGAAAAAAGAGUACUUUUACACCCUUUGUAAGGUUUGGGAUCCCCAGAAUAAUGCAGGGUGCUGACAAAGACCGAAG